CAAGUGGUAGGAGAGCGUUCUAUUUGCGCCGAAGGUAUACCGGUAAGGAGUGCUGGAGCGAAUAGAAGUGAGCAUGCAGGCAUGAGUAGCGAUAAUUAAUGUGAGAAUCAUUAACGCCGUAAACCCAAGGUUUCCUACGCGAUGCUCGUCAUCGUAGGGUUAGUCGGGUCCUAAGUCGAGUCCGAAAGGGGUAGACGAUGGCAAAUUGGUUAAUAUUCCAAUACCAACAUUAGUGUGCGAUGGAAGGACGCUUAGGGCUAAGGGGGCUAGCGGAUGGAAGUGCUAGUCUAAGGUCGUAGGAGGUUAUACAGGCAAAUCCGUAUAACAUACUCCGAGAACUGAAAGGCUUUUUGAAGUCUUCGGAUGGAUAGAAGAACCCCUGAUGCCAUCGAGCCAAGAAAAGUUUCUAAGUUUAGCUAAUGUUGCCCGUACCGUAAACCGACACAGGUGGGUGGGAUGAGUAUUCUAAGGCGCGUGGAAGAACUCUCUUUAAGGAACUCUGCAAAAUAGCACCGUAUCUUCGGUAUAAGGUGUGGUUCGCUUCGUAUUAGGAUUUACUCCGAAAGCGAAGAAACUUACAACAAAGAGUCCCUCCCGACUGUUUACCAAAAACACAGCACUCUGCUAACUCGUAAGAGGAUGUAUAGGGUGUGACGCCUGCCCGGUGCUCGAAGGUUAAUUGAUGGGGUUAGCAUUAGCGAAGCUCUUGAUCGAAGCCCGAGUAAACGGCGGCCGUAACUAUAACGGUCCUAAGGUAGCGAAAUUCCUUGUCGGUUAAAUACCGACCUGCAUGAAUGGCGUAACGAGAUGGGAGCUGUCUCAAAGAGGGAUCCAGUGAAAUUGUAGUGGAGGUGAAAAUUCCUCCUACCCGCGGCAAGACGGAAAGACCCCGUGGACCUUUACUACAGCUUGACACUGCUAUUUGGAUAAGAAUGUGCAGGAUAGGUGGGAGGCUUUGAGUAUAUGACGCCAGUUGUAUAUGAGCCAUUGUUGAGAUACCACUCUUUCUUAUUUGGGUAGCUAACCAGCUUGAGUUAUCCUCAAGUGGGACAAUGUCUGGUGGGUAGUUUGACUGGGGCGGUCGCCUCCCAAAUAAUAACGGAGGCUUACAAAGGUUGGCUCAGAACGGUUGGAAAUCGUUCGUAGAGUAUAAAGGUAUAAGCCAGCUUAACUGCAAGACAUACAAGUCAAGCAGAGACGAAAGUCGGUCUUAGUGAUCCGGUGGUUCUGUGUGGAAGGGCCAUCGCUCAAAGGAUAAAAGGUACCCCGGGGAUAACAGGCUGAUCUCCCCCAAGAGCUCACAUCGACGGGGAGGUUUGGCACCUCGAUGUCGGCUCAUCGCAUCCUGGGGCUGGAGCAGGUCCCAAGGGUAUGGCUGUUCGCCAUUUAAAGCGGUACGCGAGCUGGGUUCAGAACGUCGUGAGACAGUUCGGUCCCUAUCUGCCGUGGGCGUAAGAAGAUUGAAGAGAUUUGACCCUAGUACGAGAGGACCGGGUUGAACAAACCACUGGUGUAGCUGUUGUUCUGCCAAGAGCAUCGCAGCGUAGCUAAGUUUGGAAAGGAUAAACGCUGAAAGCAUCUAAGCGUGAAGCCAACUCUAAGAUGAAUCUUCUCUAAGCUCUCUAGAAGACUACUAGUUUGAUAGGCUGGGUGUGUAAUGGAUGAAAGUCCUUUAGCUGACCAGUACUAAUAGAGCGUUUGGCUUAUCUUUAAUAAAGCAU
This 1721-nucleotide ribosomal RNA is filed under the name Campylobacter coli Z163. Its description in RNAcentral is "bacterial LSU rRNA". It matches the Rfam family "Bacterial large subunit ribosomal RNA", at positions 1222 to 2925 of the family's 2925-position model. Lineage: Bacteria; Pseudomonadati; Campylobacterota; Epsilonproteobacteria; Campylobacterales; Campylobacteraceae. The record is from RNAcentral.